UUCCAGCGCUGCCCACCCAGCUGGGGCCCGUCCACCCCCCGCCCAGGUGAGCCCCCCCGCCGCCGCGGUGUCACCACGGUGUCACCGCCACCGCGGUGCCGCCGCGUCCCCGGCGUCCCCGUUGCUGUCGCAUCCCCGCCGCGGCUCCUCCGUCCCCGUUGCCGUCGCGUCCCCUCCGUCUCUGACCCCGCCGUCCCAGCAUCUGCCCCGUCCGUGUCCCUGCCGCGGUGGCAUCUCUUCCGCGCUCGCCACCGUGUCCCUGUCMUCGCGGCGUUUCUCUUCUGUCUACGGUGGUGGCGUCCUGCCCGUCACCACGUCCAUGCCAUGGUGGCRUCCGCUGUGUUCCCAUCGCUAGCACAUCCCUGCCGUGGUGGCAGCUUCAUGUCACCACUAUGGUGGUGGCAUCUUCACCUUCUCCAUCCGCACUGUGCGGCCUUCAUCUGCACCCCAGSCAUGUCCCCGCCGCGGUGGCAUCUUCGUGUCACCGCCACGUCGGCGUUAUCUUCACCUUCUCCAUCUCUAUCACGUGGUCUCCACCUGCACCGCGGCCGUGUCCCUGCCAUGGUGGCAUCUUGCUCGUGUCACCACCGCAGCGGCGUUGUCUUUGGUCUUUCAUUGGCGUUACCUUCACCUUCUCCAUCCCCGUUGCGGGGUCUCCACCUGCGCCAAGGCUACACCUCCGUUGUGGUGGCGUUGUCUCUGCGUCACCGCCGUGGUGGCGUUAYCUUUGGCCUCUCGUUGCCGUUACCUGCACCGUGUCCGUCCCCGUUGCGYGGUCUUCGUCUGUGCCGCGCCUACGUCCCCACCGCGGUAGCAGGUUCUUCGUGUCACCACCGCGGUGGUGGUGGUAUCUUCACCACCUCUGUCCCCGUCCUGUGGUUUUUAUCUGCACCACGGCUGCGUCUCUGCCAUGGUGGCAUCUUUGUGUCCCCACCACGUCGGUGUCAUCUUCGGCUCUUUGUCGGUGUUACCUCCACCUUCUCCGUCCCCGUCGCGUGGUCUUCGUCUGCGCCGCGACUGCGUCCUCGCCGCGGUGCCGUUAUCUCCAUCUCGUGUCCCCACCACGUCCUCUCCAUCCGUGCCACUGCCACCGCGUCCACGUUGUGGUGGCACCUGCUCCGUCUUCUCCAUCCCCGUGGUGGCAGCGUCCUCUGUGU
Molecule: long non-coding RNA, 1157 nt
Filed under: Dromaius novaehollandiae (emu)
Lineage: Eukaryota; Metazoa; Chordata; Aves; Casuariiformes; Dromaiidae
Description: lncRNA (ENSDNVG00000002519.1)
Source: RNAcentral